UACACGACCGUACCGCAAACCGACACUGGUGCGCGAGAUGAGUAUUCUAAGGCGCUUGAGAGAACUCAGGAGAAGGAACUCGGCAAAUUGACACCGUAACUUCGGAAGAAGGUGUGCCUUUAGUAGGUGAACCUGUACAAGGGGAGCCCAAUGAGGUUGCAAAAAAUCGGUGGCUGCGACUGUUUAAUAAAAACACAGCACUCUGCAAACACGAAAGUGGACGUAUAGGGUGUGACGCCUGCCCGGUGCUGGAAGAUUAAAUGAUGGGGUGCAAGCUCUUGAUUGAAGUCCCAGUAAACGGCGGCCGUAACAAUAACGGUCCUAAGGUAGCGAAAUUCCUUGUCGGGUAAGUUCCGACCUGCACGAAUGGCGUAACGAUGGCCACACUGUCUCCUCCUGAGACUCAGCGAAGUUGAAAUGUUUGUGAUGAUGCAAUCUCCCCGCGGAAAGACGGAAAGACCCCAUGAACCUUUACUGUAGCUUUGUAUUGGACUUUGAACAGAUCUGUGUAGGAUAGGUGGGAGGCUUUGAAGUGUGGUCGCUAGAUCGCAUGGAGCCAACGUUGAAAUACCACCCUGGUGUGUUUGAGGUUCUAACCUAGGCCCGUAAUCCGGGUCGGGGACAGUGCAUGGUAGGCAGUUUGACUGGGGCGGUCUCCUCCCAAAGCGUAACGGAGGAGUUCGAAGGUACGCUAGGUACGGUCGGACAUCGUGCUAAUAGUGCAAUGGCAUAAGCGUGCUUAACUGCGAGACUGACAAGUCGAGCAGAUGCGAAAGCAGGACAUAGUGAUCCGGUGGUUCUGUAUGGAAGGGCCAUCGCUCAACGGAUAAAAGGUACUCUGGGGAUAACAGGCUGAUACCGCCCAAGAGUUCAUAUCGACGGCGGUGUUUGGCACCUCGAUGUCGGCUCAUCUCAUCCUGGGGCUGUAGCCGGUCCCAAGGGUAUGGCUGUUCGCCAUUUAAAGAGGUACGUGAGCUGGGUUUAAAACGUCGUGAGACAGUUUGGUCCCUAUCUUCCGUGGGCGCUGCAGAUUUGAGGAAGCCUGCUCCUAGUACGAGAGGACCGGAGUGGACACACCUCUGGUGUAUCGGUUGUCACGCCAGUGGCAUUGCCGAGUAGCUAUGUGUGGAAGAGAUAACCGCUGAAAGCAUCUAAGCGGGAAACUCGUUUCAAGAUGAGAUCUGCCGGGGCCUUGAGCCCCCUAAAGAGUCGUUCAAGACCAGGACGUUGAUAGGUCAGGUGUGGAAGCGCAGUAAUGCGUUAAGCUAACCGAUACUAAUUGCUCGUGCGGCUUGACC
This 1298-nucleotide ribosomal RNA is filed under the name metagenome. Its description in RNAcentral is "bacterial LSU rRNA". It matches the Rfam family "Bacterial large subunit ribosomal RNA", at positions 1635 to 2925 of the family's 2925-position model. The record is from RNAcentral.